This 468-nucleotide ribosomal RNA is filed under the name uncultured bacterium. RNAcentral describes it as "partial 16S ribosomal RNA". It matches the Rfam family "Bacterial small subunit ribosomal RNA", at positions 28 to 507 of the family's 1533-position model. The record is from RNAcentral.
GACGAACGCUGGCGGCGUGCUUAACACAUGCAAGUCGAACGGAAAGGCCCUGCUUUUGUGGGGUGCUCGAGUGGCGAACGGGUGAGUAACACGUGAGUAACCUGCCCUUGACUUUGGGAUAACUUCAGGAAACCGGGGCUAAUACCGGAUAGGAGCCCCUGCUGCAUGGUGGGGGUUGGAAAGUUUCGGCGGUUGGGGAUGGACUCGCGGCUUAUCAGCUUGUUGGUGGGGUAGUGGCUUACCAAGGCUUUGACGGGUAGCCGGCCUGAGAGGGUGACCGGCCACAUUGGGACUGAGAUACGGCCCAGACUCCUACGGGAGGCAGCAGUGGGGAAUAUUGCACAAUGGGCGGAAGCCUGAUGCAGCAACGCCGCGUGCGGGAUGACGGCCUUCGGGUUGUAAACCGCUUUCGCCUGUGACGAAGCGUGAGUGACGGUAAUGGGUAAAGAAGCACCGGCUAACUACGUG